UAGGGAAUCUUCGGCAAUGGACGAAAGUCUGACCGAGCAACGCCGCGUGAGUGAAAAAGGUUUUCGGAUCGUAAAACUCUGUUGUUAGAGAAGAACAAGGACGUUAGUAACUGAACGUCCCCUGACGGUAUCUAACCAGAAAGCCAAGGCUAACUACGUGCCAGCAGCCGCGGUAAUACGUAGGUGGCAAGCGUUGUCCGGAUUUAUUGGGCGUAAAGCGAGCGCAGGCGGUUUCUUAAGUCUGAUGUGAAAGCCCCCGGCUCAACCGGGGAGGGUCAUUGGAAACUGGGAGACUUGAGUGCAGAAGAGGAGAGUGGAAUUCCAUGUGUAGCGGUGAAAUGCGUAGAUAUAUGGAGGAACACCAGUGGCGAAGGCGGCUCUCUGGUCUGUAACUGACGCUGAGGCUCGAAAGCGUGGGGAGCAAACAGG
Molecule: ribosomal RNA, 429 nt
Filed under: Gemmatimonadota bacterium
Lineage: Bacteria; Pseudomonadati; Gemmatimonadota
Description: Gemmatimonadetes bacterium partial 16S ribosomal RNA
Rfam family: Bacterial small subunit ribosomal RNA
Source: RNAcentral